AUUGAACGCUGGCGGCAGGCCUAACACAUGCGAGUCGAACGGUAGCACAGAGAGCUUGAUCUCGGGUGACGAGUGGCGGACGGGUGAGUAAUGUCUGGGAAACUGCCUGAUGGAGGGGGAUAACUACUGGAAACGGUAGCUAAUACCGCAUAACGUCGCAAGACCAAAGAGGGGGACCUUCGGGCCUCUUGCCAUCAGAUGUGACCAGAAGGGAUUAGCUAGUAGGUGGGGUAACGGCUCACCUAGGCGACGAUCCCUAGCUGGUCUGAGAGGAUGACCAGCCACACUGGAACUGAGACACGGUCCAGACUCCUACGGGAGGCAGCAGUGGGGAAUAUUGCACAAUGGGCGCAAGCCUGAUGCAGCCAUGCCGCGUGUAUGAAGAAGGCCUUCGGGUUGUAAAGUACAUUCAGCGAGGAGGAAGGCGAUACGGUUAAUAACCGUGUCGAUGGACGUUACUCGCAGAAGAAGCACCGGCUAACUCCGUGCCAGCCGCCGCGGUAA
RNAcentral lists this ribosomal RNA (504 nucleotides) under uncultured bacterium. RNAcentral describes it as "partial 16S ribosomal RNA". It matches the Rfam family "Bacterial small subunit ribosomal RNA", at positions 29 to 523 of the family's 1533-position model. The record is from RNAcentral.